RNAcentral lists this long non-coding RNA (6654 nucleotides) under Selaginella moellendorffii. RNAcentral describes it as "long non-coding RNA (SMOE_LNC001504)". Lineage: Eukaryota; Viridiplantae; Streptophyta; Lycopodiopsida; Selaginellales; Selaginellaceae. The record is from RNAcentral.
AAUGCUGCAAGAUCUUAUCAACGUGAAAAUUUCUCUAAGUGAAGAUGUUAUGAAAUGGGGACACCCAGCCUUGUGAGCGCAGCAGCGCUCCAUGCUGGGUCCACCUUUAUUGCGGAAGACGGAUCAAGAACAGAAUGUGUCGGGCGUGAUCACCUACAGAACCCAAACAGAUGUGUCCCUUCUGCUGACGUGGCAUCCCAGCUUGAGAUUGCGGCUUAAGUCCUCAACACUCCCACUCGAGCUAAGCUGGGAUCAGCCUCGAGCAACUGCACACCAAGAGCUUGGACAUGCUUGGAGAAUGCAGCUAGGGGCAGAGCUUUUGUGAAAACAUCUGCCACCUGAUCUCCCGUCGCACAAUACACUAGCUCCAUUGUCUCCAUGGCAACCUGCUCACGAAUAAAAUGAAACUGUACCUGUAUGUGCUUGGUACGUCCGUGAUACUUCGGGUUCUUCGUCAAGGCAAUUGCUCCCUGAUUAUCACAGAAGAUAAUUGUUGGAGUCUUCUGUGGAUAAUAUACUCCACUCAAUAGUUGCCUCAGCCAAACACACUCUUUGGCUGCUAAGGUAGUGGCCAUGUACUCAGCUUCGGUGCUUGAUAGUGCAAUUGUUGGCUGCCUUUUACUGCACCAAGUAACUGCUCCACUACCAAGGCUGAACAUAUAGCCUGAAGUGGACUUCCUCUUGUCAACUUCACCAGCCCAAUCAGCAUCUGAGUAUCCAACGAGCUGAAUACCCCUAGGCUGCUGCUUGUAAACAAGACCAUAGUUGGCAGUCCCCUUCAAGUAUCUGAAAAUCCGCUUUACUGCUAACCAGUGCUGGUAGCCAGGAUUUUCCAAGUGCUGUGAAACUGCUCCCACUGCAUAGGCUAUGUCUGGCCUCGUACACACCAUCAGGUACACUAAGCUUCCCACCAUCUGCCUAUAUGGGAUCCGCUUCAUAUGUUCCUGUUCAGCUGGUGUUGUCGGUGACAUAUCCUGUGAGAGUUUUAGACCAACCUCCAUAGGUGUGGUUGCUGGGUUCAGCUCACUGAGUUGAAACCUCUGAAGCACGUCCAGAAUGUACUUCUUCUGAGACAUCUGAAUCACUCCCUUCCUCCUGUCUCGGAAGAUCUGAAUGCCAAGGCAGUAGUGAAGAGGUCCCAUGUCAACCAUCUUGAAUCGGCACCCCAAAUCCAGCUUCAACUGCUUCAUGGUAGCACCUUCACUUGAGAAAAGGAUGCAGUCAUCCACAUAGAGAGCUAUCAUGGCUCAAAAUUCUCCCACUCGCUUCAAGUACACGUUACUGUCAGCUGAAAUCUUGGAGAACCCCAAACCCAAGAGAUAAGCAUCCAUUUUCUCGUACCAGGCCCUGGGUGCUUGUUUAAGGCCAUACAAAGCCUUCUUCAACCGGCACACUAAAUGUUCCUUCCCUGGAACAACAAAGCCCUCUGGUUGCGAGAUAAAGACCUCCUCAUGUAGAUCUCCAUUCAGAAAAGCUGUGGUGACGUCCAUCUACUCGACUUCCAAGUUUUCUUGAGCAGCAAUGUUCAGCAACAUCCUGAUCGAUGCAUGUUUCACCACUGGUGAAAAUGUUUCUGCAAAGUCCACUCCUUCUACUUGAGAAAAUCCUCGAGCUACAAAUCUGGCCUUGUAACGAUCAAUAGAGCCAUCUGGCUUAUACUUGAUCCGGAACAGCCACUUUGUACUCACGAUUCUUCUACCUGUAGGAAGCUCCACCAAGUCCCACGUUUCAUUUUCCAUCAGAGAUUGAUACUCUAGGAAAAUUGCAUGCUGCCACUCUGCUGCAUUUGGACCAGCCAAGGCUUCUUGCAGGGUCUUGGGUACUGUGGCUUCUGCUUGGUGAAAGAGUGCUAGAAAGUCGAGUUCCAUGUCCUCAGAAGGAACUUCCUCCUGCUGCUGGGACGGUGAGCUUGCAGCAUAAUAAAAUGCUGCUGAGGUUACUGGAGGUGGCUCAGAUGCACUGCGAUCACGAGCUGCUCUGGCUUCAACUCUAGAAGCCUCAAGAGCCUGCUUUAAUGCCACAUCCUCUCUGUACUGCUGUCCUUGUUCAAUCAAGACACGAACACGACUGGAUCUACAAGUUGCUGCUACUUCCUGCUGCUGGCUGCUUUCCUGCUGCUGGCUGCUCUCACUAGAGCUGCCUUCCUCGAAAUUGAGAGAAGGUGAGAGAUCUGAGACACUCCUUGGAAGAGUUCGGCCUGCCCUGGGAGGAACUUGAGCCAUGACUCCACCUCCACCUGUAGCUGCUCCGCCUGAGUGUGCACGCUGCCGUCGAGAGGCAUCUUCCUCCUCGCUGUCGCUAUCCUCAAUUAGGGUUUGCUUACCACUAAUGAGUAACGGCAUCUGCUGCGAGGUGGUUGCUAGCUGGUUCUUGGUGUUGUACAUCUUAGACUCGUCGAAGAUGACAUUCCUGCUCGUGAUCACCUUCCUGGUGUUCAGGUUGAAGAGCUUGUAACCCUUCAUCUUGCUUGCAUAGCCAAGGAGAAUGCACUUCUCACUUCUACUGUCCAGCUUCUUGGGCUCGUCCUUGAGUGCAUAAGCUACACACCCAAAGAUCCUGAGAUGGCUCACGUCUGGUGCCUUCCCAUACCACACCUCAUAAGGUGUUCGUCCCUUGACAGCAGAAGUAAUCAGCCUAUUCCUCAAGUAGGCUGCUGUCUUCACAGCAUCACACCAAAAGAAAUUUGGCAUGCCUGCAUCUUGCAAGAGCGCUCGUGCCAUCUCCACAAGAGUUCGGUUCAUCCUCUCAGCCACGCCAUUUUGCUCAGGAGUUGAAGGCACUGAAAGUUGCCGCUUAAUUCCAGCUUGCUCACAGAACUCCUUAAAGGCGUUAGAGGUGAACUCUCCACCACCAUCACUUCUCAGCAUCUUGAUUUUUCUGCUUAUCUCAAGCUCCGCUUGCAGCUUGUAGACCUUGAAAGCUUCAAAGGCCUCUGACUUGUGCAGCAAAAACUUCACUGCUACCAUCCUUGAAAAAUCGUCAAUGAAUGUGACAAAGUAUUUCUUCUUUGUCCUUGACAUGGUCUGCAUUGGGCCACAUAGAUCAGAGUGUACCAGCUCCAGGACAUCCUUCCCUCUUUCACUUACACCUGAGCGAAAUGGAAGGCGAUGCUGCUUACUGAGGACACAAGGCUCACAAAAUCCAGCUGAUGAUGGAGCAAUGUUCAGUCCUUGGACAAGUUGUCCUCUUGCUAGCUGCUGUACUCUCUUGAUGGAAGAGUGGCCUAAUCUCCUGUGCCAAGUGUCUAGUGUAGCUGGUUUGUCUUCCACGCUGCUACUGAGCAUUAACCUCUCAGGAUACACCACUUCAGCAUUCAGGCAAUAGAGCCCUGCAUGUCGGCGUCCCGAUGCUAGCUCAUAGCCUUCUCAUGAGAUGGUGCACCUUUUCUCGUUAAAGUCAAUCUUGCAGCCUGUGUCUGCUAUCUUCCCCACUGAGAAAAGAGUCUUCUUGACACCAGGCACAUAGUAGACAUUGCUCACGUCCACUUUCUGACCAUUGGCAAGUUUCACCUUGAUUGUCCCAACUCCUUGCACACUGUGCGAGUAAUCGUCACCAAGGUAAAUCCUCUUGUCGUCUGGAACUGGUCUCAGCUUGCCAAACAGCUCUUUGAUGUAUGUCAUGUGCCUGUUUGCUCCUGAGUCCACCCAGAUUACUUCUACUGUCAAGGGACGAACACCUUAUGAGGUGUGGUAUGGGAAGGCACCAGACGUGAGCCAUCUCAGGAUCUUUGGGUGUGUAGCUUAUGCACUCAAGGACGAGCCCAAGAAGCUGGACAGUAGAAGUGAGAAGUGCAUUCUCCUUGGCUAUGCAAGCAAGAUGAAGGGUUACAAGCUCUUCAACCUGAACACCAGGAAGGUGAUCACGAGCAGGAAUGUCAUCUUCGACGAGUCUAAGAUGUACAACACCAAGAACCAGCUAGCAACCACCUCGCAGCAGAUGCCGUUACUCAUUAGUGGUAAGCAAACCCUAAUUGAGGAUAGCGACAGCGAGGAGGAAGAUGCCUCUCGACGGCAGCGUGCACACUCAGGCGGAGCAGCUACAGGUGGAGGUGGAGUCAUGGCUCAAGUUCCUCCCAGGGCAGGCCGAACUCUUCCAAGGAGUGUCUCAGAUCUCUCACCUUCUCUCAAUUUCGAGGAAGGCAGCUCUAGUGAGAGCAGCCAGCAGCAGGAAGUAGCAGCACCUUGUAGAUCCAGUCGUGUUCGUGUCUUGAUUGAACAAGGACAGCAGUAUAGAGAGGAUGUGGCAUUAAAGCAGGCUCUUGAGGCUUCUAGAGUUGAAGCCAGAGCAGCUCGUGAUCGCAGUGCAUCUGAGCCACCUCCAGUAACCUCAGCAGCAUUUUAUUAUGCUGCAAGCUCACCGUCCCAGCAGCAGAAGGAAGUUCCUUUUGAGGACAUGGAACUCGACUUUCUAGCACUCUUUCACCAAGCAGAAGCCACAGUACCCAAGACCCUGCAAGAAGCCUUGGCUGGUCCAAAUGCAGCAGAGUGGCAGCAUGCAAUUUUCCUAGAGUAUCAAUCUCUGAUGGAAAAUGAAACGUGGGACUUGGUGGAGCUUCCUACAGGUAGAAGAAUCGUGAGUACAAAGUGGCUGUUCCGGAUCAAGUAUAAGCCAGAUGGCUCUAUUGAUCGUUACAAGGCCAGAUUUGUAGCUCGAGGAUUUUCUCAAGUAGAAGGAGUGGACUUUGCAGAAACAUUUUCACCAGUGGUGAAACAUGCAUCAAUCAGGAUGUUGCUGAACAUUGCUGCUCAAGAAAACUUGGAAGUCGAGUAGAUGGACGUCACCACAGCUUUUCUGAAUGGAGAUCUACAUGAGGAGGUCUUUAUCUCGCAACCAGAGGGCUUUGUUGUUCCAGGGAAGGAACAUUUAGUGUGCCGGUUGAAGAAGGCUUUAUAUGGCCUUAAACAAGCACCCAGGGCCUGGUACGAGAAAAUGGAUGCUUAUCUCUUGGGUUUGGGGUUCUCCAAGAUUUCAGCUGACAGUAACGUGUACUUGAAGCGAGUGGGAGAAUUUUGAGCCAUGAUAGCUCUCUAUGUGGAUGACUGCAUCCUUUUCUCAAGUGAAGGUGCUACCAUGAAGCAGUUGAAGCUGGAUUUGGGGUGCCGAUUCAAGAUGGUUGACAUGGGACCUCUUCACUACUGCCUUGGCAUUCAGAUCUUCCGAGACAGGAGGAAGGGAGUGAUUCAGAUGUCUCAGAAGAAGUACAUUCUGGACGUGCUUUAGAGGUUUCAACUCAGUGAGCUGAACCCAGCAACCACACCUAUGGAGGAACAUAUGAAGCGGAUACCAUAUAGGCAGAUGGUGGGAAGCUUAGUGUACCUGAUGGUGUGUACGAGGCCAGACAUAGCCUAUGCAGUGGGAGCAGUUUCACAGCACUCUGAUACCCCUAGUUUUGUCACCUGCUGAUCCUCUAACGAAGCCAUGAACAGACUGCCAUGCUCGUCAUCUGAAUCAGCAAGUGACAAAACAUGGUCUGUUGAAAGCAGAAGUAAUCUCUGAUGUAUGUCAUGUGCCUGCAGAUUACUUUUGCUUUCAACAGACCAUGUUUUGUCACCUGCUGAUCCUCUAACGAAGCCAUGAAUAGACUGCCAUGCUCGUCAUCUGAAUCAGCUGCUGCAAAGUUAGCCACUUGCUUGCCUUUGUCUCGCUUUCUAGCUUCCUUGGCUUUCUUUGCUUCUUCAUUGGUGCAGUCUCUUGCCCAAUGACCAGGUUUCUUGCAAAUGUUGCAAAGGCCGUCGUUUUUCUUCUUCUUCUUCUUGGACUUGCUCCCACUGGUUCCAUCAGUCCCUGGAGAAUUCACUGGGCCCAACCUGUCCCACACUGUUGCAGAUCGCUUGCCCUUUGAAGAUUGACCAGCAAAUAGCGCUUGAUCUUGAGAUCCAACUCCCUCAUUGGUCUCCAUCAAGUUCUCUGCUGACUUCAACUGAAGGACUAUUUCGUCAAAUUUCUUUGAUGAGUGAGUAGUCGCUGUUGUCAGAAGAUACUUCGCCACGCCUUUGAUGACAACCGACUUGAGCUUCGGUUCACUCACUGGUGUCUUCGUGAUGCGUGCGAUCUGGCUUGCUACCUUCCUCAACCUUCCAACAAAGGCUUGAAUGGACUCACCUUCAUGCUGUCUUACAGAACCGAGUUCUGUCUCUAAGUCCAGCAAUGUGGUCUCAUUCUCCUUUCCGAGGGUUGCUUUCAGGUUUUCCCAGUUCUCGUGCGCAGUCUUCGUGAUGUCGAGAUGGCAACUGAACACCUUGCCCAGGCCUCUGCCUAGAAUGCCCAAGGCCUUGAUGUUCUUUCCAUCCUACUCUUUGCGGUCAGCCUUGUCCGUUGUGGGAGGGCGCGUCCAGGAACCGUCGACCACUGGCCACAGCUCCUUCUGCAUAAAGUAGUACUCGAGUUGCUCCUGCCAUCCACUGAAAUCCUUGCCAUCAAAGAUCUCUAUGGCGUCGCGCACACUCCCCAUCUUCAGGAUCGUUCUUCACACGGGCUCUGAUACCAUGUUAUGAAAUGGGGACACCCAGCCUUGUGAGCGCAGCAGCGCUCCAUGCUGGGUCCACCUUUAUUGCGGAAGACGGAUCAAGAACAGAAUGUGUCGGGCGUGAUCACCUACAGAACCUAAACGGAUGUGUCCCUUCUGCUGACGUGGCAUCCCAGCUUGAGAUUGCG